This 479-nucleotide ribosomal RNA is filed under the name Pseudophilautus amboli. RNAcentral describes it as "partial large subunit ribosomal RNA". It matches the Rfam family "Bacterial large subunit ribosomal RNA", at positions 1928 to 2578 of the family's 2925-position model. The record is from RNAcentral. Lineage: Eukaryota; Metazoa; Chordata; Amphibia; Anura; Rhacophoridae.
CGGCCGCGGUACCCUAACCGUGCAAAGGUAGCAUAAUCACUUGUUCUUUAAAUAAGGACUUGUAUCAACGGCAUCACGAGGGUUCUACUGUCUCCUCUCUCCAAUCGGUGAAACUGAUCUCCCUAUGAAAAAGUGGGGAUAAACUUAUAAGACGAGAAGACCCCAUGGAGCUUUAAAACCUAUAGCAACCUAGCAAACACUUCCAUUUAGCUAUAAAACUAUGCUCAAGGACUUUAGGUUGGGAGGACCACGGAGCACAAAAUAACCUCCGCAAUGAAAAGAAUAAAAUCUUUACCAAAGAGCCACAACUCCAAGAAUUAGAAAACUAACGUACAAUGACCCGAUAUCGAUCAAUGAACUAAGUUACCCUGGGGAUAACAGCGCAAUCCAUUCUGAGAGUUCAUAUCGACGAACGGGCUUACGACCUCGAUGUUGGAUCAGGGUAUCCUGGUGGUGCAGCCGCUACCGAAGGUUCGUUU